GUAACAACUCAAUAGCAUUGCAGACAUUCAGUUCUCGCGCAACUUUCAAGCUUGGGGCUCUUGACUGGUGGACAAUCCUGUGACCUGGGGCUCAGCACUUGCCCUCAUCUGUGGCUGUGUAGUCUUCCACACAUGGCUUUCAGAGUCCCUGUGCUUACCGAACCAAGAACCGGAAACAACGAAGGCCUCAGGAGUUUUUAUGGACUGGACCUGAAAUCUGCACUGAGUCCUCUGACAGUUUGUAGAUUCUGUCAGUUGUAACUGUCAUGUCAUCUGCAACAGUGGUCACUGGCGCAGAAACAGGAGGCCAUGGAUUCUCUGAGCUGUUCUCUGAGCUGCUGCUGUCCUCAGUCAGAGAACACACCUCCUGUAGCUUCAGGAAUGCAAGAAAAAUACAGCAUUAGCCAUAUGUCACAGCAAGUGUUUGUGUCAAACUUCCUGCAAUAUGGACUGACAGCAGAUGGACACAGAGACAGAAUGAGGCUACUGCCAAUUCUUCUCUAUCUUUGGAAGUCAAAUGGACCUCAUUGUUUGGAGUGGGCUAUCCAGAGAGCCAGGACUGUGGCUGCUGUCUGUUCAGACAAAGCUUUCCCUGAAAAAAGAAAACGGAGAAUAUGAAAAUGAAAACAAACGCAGAAGAAGAACAAGCCCCAGAGGAUCUGUGAGCAACGCUGCUGCAGUCACGACUCUCAGUUUUUUUUGUACUUUGAUUUUGCUCAGGGAACUUUGAGCAUUACUCAUCUUUAAUUACCUUAAUUUCAUGCUUAACCCAGGCACAAAGAGAUCUGCUUGUAAUUUCAGAUGAGAGGAAAUGAAAUUCCCCUCAGCAAAGUCAAAUUUUAAAAUUCAAAGAGGGAGAACAAUGUAUUGAAUCACAAACAAUAUGAACCUUUUGCAUUUCAAGGCCAAGUGACGCUGCUGUCAGGCUGGAGAGAGAAAGCUGAAGGGUAAAGAAGGCUACAGAAGCACAGAUGUGGUGAAUCAUCCAUAGUCAAAGGAAGAUUUCUAAUUUGUGCACAGCUAAUAUGUUUUGAAGAUGUGGUGAGAGUGAGCAUCGUCAUUGAGGAUAUGCUAUCCAAAGCUGACAUUAAUAUUUAUGUGGUAGCAGCUACCAGAAGAGCAGACAGAGUGCCCAGGGGAAAUAAUUCACUUUCUCAGAUCAGCCUUGCAUCUCAGCUCCUCAUCAGUGAAGAAAAACCUCAGAAUAACUCAUUUGUUGAUCAGUAAA
This is a long non-coding RNA of Peromyscus eremicus (cactus mouse), 1228 nucleotides long. RefSeq lists it as uncharacterized. The record is from RefSeq and is a predicted model, not a curated record. The transcript has 5 exons. NCBI's taxonomy places the organism in Eukaryota, Metazoa, Chordata, Mammalia, Rodentia, Cricetidae.